This 470-nucleotide ribosomal RNA is filed under the name uncultured Acidimicrobiales bacterium. RNAcentral describes it as "bacterial SSU rRNA". It matches the Rfam family "Bacterial small subunit ribosomal RNA", at positions 8 to 489 of the family's 1533-position model. The record is from RNAcentral. Lineage: Bacteria; Bacillati; Actinomycetota; Acidimicrobiia; Acidimicrobiales.
AGAGUUUGAUCAUGGCUCAGGACGAACGCUGGCGGCGUGCUUAACACAUGCAAGUCGAACGAGGUCCACGGUGUAGCAAUACACUUGAAGACCUAGUGGCGAACGGGUGCGUAACACGUGAGGAACUUGUCCCGGUCUCUGGGAUAACAGUUGGAAACGACUGCUAAUACCGGAUGACGUCGGAGCAUCGCAUGAUGCGCUGACGAAAGGGUUACUGGAUCGGGAGAGCCUCGCGGCCUAUCAGCUUGUUGGUGGGGUAACGGCCCACCAAGGCAUCGACGGGUAGCUGGUCUGAGAGGAUGAUCAGCCACACUGGGACUGAGACACGGCCCAGACUCCUACGGGAGGCAGCAGUGGGGAAUCUUGCGCAAUGGGCGAAAGCCUGACGCAGCAACGCCGCGUGCGGGAUGAAGGCUCUCGGGUUGUAAACCGCUUUCAGCAGGAAAGAAAAUGACGGUACUGCAGAAGAA